RNAcentral lists this transfer RNA (95 nucleotides) under Streptomyces bluensis. Its description in RNAcentral is "tRNA-Glu". Lineage: Bacteria; Bacillati; Actinomycetota; Actinomycetes; Kitasatosporales; Streptomycetaceae. The record is from RNAcentral.
CGCGGCUGGGGGCCGGGUCCGCAGUCCGGCCCCGGCCCUCAGUCGUGCGUCAGAUCACCGACGGGUCGCCCGCCGUUCCGCUCGGCGAGCCGGGG